AGGGCUGGCGCCACCUCCAACAUUCCUGCACACAGUUCUUGAUUCACAGACGUCUGUGUUUCUGCCGGGCGUACACCUCGGAGAGGAAGCACAAAGACCCGCUGAGCGCUGGCUGCAGCAGGAUUUGACCUGCGUGUCUCUAGAUCCCGAAGAAUGUUCUCUGAUGCAGACCAAGGUCAGGUAUGGUAAACAAAGUGGCUGCCAGCACGAAAUAGACUCCCAGCAGGUGUGGCUGCUGAAAUUUUCCAUUUUUCAGAGCGACUGCAGGCUUGGAGAAUUUUAGGGCACUUUGUCACGGAAGGUCGUGUCCCGGCAGCCGUCCAGCCAUCUGAAGCUGUGUGGUCGUCUGCAAACAGCAGCCCUGGGCUUUAGAGCCGAGGUUCAGGAGGAAGAUAACCCCUAUCAGGCAGCAGCAGAGAUGGGAGGAGUGAUGUGUAAAGUACACAAUUGGCGGUCCGUGUCCAGCGCACUGGAAGAGCUCCAUAAACACAGGCUUUUUGUCAGCUCGGCCGCCUCUAUCCAGCUGUCCGGUCAUCACCGCCACCCUGACACUAACAGGCAACUCAGGCUGGCAUGGUCAAGGCUGACUUCCUGAUCUUCCCUCCCGCUCUUGCCCACCCCAACACCUGGGCAAGACACUCCUGUCCUUCUAGGAGCUGAAGUCAAAAAUCUUGGCAUCAUCCUGGACUCCUCUCUCCUGCAAGCCUCACAUCUGACUCACCUGCAAAUCCUUCUAGCUUUCCCUUUAAAAUAUACCCAGAGUCCAGCCCUGUCUCACCGCCUCCACCGCUACCUGGUCCUGGCCAACGCCGUCCUCCCCUGCUGCUCCAGCAGCCUCCCCACUGGGCUCUCUGCUUCCCCUCUCACGCCGACUGUCUUCUGCUGUCGCCAGAGCACCUCAGGAUCCGUCAUGAAACUCCAUUCAAGGCUCCCGUGUGGCCACAUCUCACCCAGAGCAAAUGCCAGCGUCUAAUCACAGGCCCCUGAGAUGGUCCCCACCGCACCAGCAGGGGCAGGGGAAGCAGAAGAUGUGGCAAAGUGCUCGAGAAAAGCAUCGGAGGAAAAGAUGGUCCCUUUGGUUAUAUAGGAAGAUAUCAUUACAGAAAUAAAUAGAUUUUAUGGUUUUUGCUGGAUAGCACAUGAUUGGUCCAAAGUGGACCAAGUAAUGCUGAGGAAGACUUUUUGGAAGAGACGCGAGACAUUCUCAACCUCCCUUCCAAAAUAACACCUAGAUAAGGCUGGAAACGCAAACUAGGCCCUUCUGAGUGAAGAGGCAGGACCAAGCACGGCGCUGGACCCCAGGCCCUCGUGAGGCCCGGCUAAAACCACCGUGAUGGGAUUUUUAAGAUACAAACCUAAAGAGAAAAUGAGAAAGGUGAAGAUAACGAAACUCUGGGAGCCGGAAAGCUUAUGAACAAGAAGCAACUGACUGAGCGGCCGAAGAGCUGAGUUCCAUGCUCACGGCAGGAAAACCCAUGAACCUAUGAACUGGAUUUAUUUAGCAGAACGCUCAGAAAAAUGCAGGAGCCUGUGGCACCAGGUCCUUCUGGAACUGAGAGCGAAGCCGCAGGGAGGGAGAGCGUCAAAUAAGGGAGGCUGGCUGACACUGUUCAGCAGCAGUUAGAUGCUGGGACCCCCACCCCCACUCUGCAUGGUGGGGUGCCUGUCUCUCUCCCACUCUGGCAGAAGACCGACAACUGGCUUUCCAGAGAGGAUAAACCUAGGGACUCUGGACUGUGUGACAUCAGAUGCAGUUGGGACCCAGGGUAUCAAACUGGAGAUGGGGGAUUCAGUGACUGUGGACGUACUGGAUGCUGAGACCCCCUCUCCCAUCCCUCCUACCCUACUGGGCUCCCAGAAUGCUGGCAGCCAGGCCGCUGCGCUCUAGAAAGGAGGCUGGAACAAUCUGCUCCAGUGCAUCUGACAAGCCCAGGUGGAAAGACCUGGAGAGACUGACACAGGGGCUCCCCCAAAAUUGGCACAGCAUAGCACCCCACAGUAAAGCUCACAGGCAAGAAGAUCUGCCUGUUCAGACACCGUGGAUAAGCAGACAUGUGAGGAGAGCCUCUACGAGGCAGAGAACAAAACGAAGAAAAGCGACUUGGAGGAAGAAAACAUUAAGCAAGGAGAAGAAAAUUUCCAAAAAUCAUUAUUGAUAACUUUUGAGAGAUAAGAAAAGAUGUUAAAUCCAUGAAACAAGAACAGAAGUUUAUAAAUAAGAACACUUAUAGAGCAAAAAGUAUUUCUUGCAAAUUAAAAAUGUGAAAAUAGAAAUUAAAAACUUUGUAAAAGAUUGGAAGAUGGAAUUGAGGAAAAUUUUGAAAAGUCAGUCAGAAAGACAAAGAGAUAGGAAACAGAAAAGAAAGAGAAAAUAAUUAGAAGACUAGUCCAAGAAGUCUAACAUGCAAAUAAGAAGAGUACCACAAAGCAACAAUAGUGAAAACAGAGAGGAGGAGAUAUUCGUCAACAAAGCAACACAAGGAUAUUUCCCAAACUGGAAUAGCACGAAUCUCCAGACAGAAAGGGAACUUCAAGUUUGCAGCAUAAUGGAAAAAAUAUACUCACACCAAGGCCACUGUUAUGAAAUUUCCAGAACACUGGGAAUAAAGAAAAUCUAGCACGCUUCUGAAGGGUAGAAAGAAACAGGUAUGUGCAACAGAUAAGGAAUUAGAAUAAAUUUGGAAUUCUUACUAGCAAACAGAAAGAAAAACAAGCAAAAAAACAAUGGGGAGUGGCUUCAAAAUUCUAUAGGAAAAUUAUUUCCAACCUAGAAUUCUAUAGCCAGCCCGAUUAUCACUCAUAUGUAAGAAUAGAAUAAAAAUAAUUCAGACACACAAAUUCUCAACAAACAUUUAACUUCCACAUGCUUUUUCCCAGGAACUCAUUGGAGGGUAUUCUACCAAAUGAAGGAGUAAGCUAGGGAGAAACAAGACACGCCACACGUGUGAGCUCCCUGGGGCUGCUGUAACAAUAUGCCUCAAACUGGGGGUCUGAAACAACGGAGGUUUACAGUGUCAUGUCCUAGAGGCUAGAAAUCUGGAAUCAUGGUGUCAGCUGGGCCACACUUUCUCUGAAACCUCAAGGGGAAGGUAGGUCCUUUCUUGCCUCUUCCAGCUUCUGUAGCAGCAGAACUCCAGUCUCUGCCUCCGUCUUCACUCAGUCUCCCCUCUGGGCAUGUCUGUCUCUGCGUCUCAUCUCCUCUUCUUAUAAGGACAUCAGUCGUACUGGGUUAAGGGCCCACCCUACUCCAAUAGGACCUCAUCUUAACUAAUUGCGUCUGCAGUGAGCCUAUUUCCAAAUAAUGUCACAUUCUAACGUUCUGGAAAAGACAUGAAUUUGGCAGGGGACAAUAUUUAACCCAGUACAACAUACAGAAACAGGAGGUGAGAGGAAUUCUCUGGAUGCUGGUGAAGGGCUGGCCCAGGCCGACAGCUGUGUACCAGGGCAGAGGGCAACCGGCACAGACUGGGCAGGCCAGACACUCGAAGAUUUUGUCAGGAAGGUGAAACUGAGAUUUACGGAUUGAAUUAAUGAUAAAUACACAGAAAACUGAGCAAACAAACAACAGCAACAAUAAAAAGGCAAUUGUUAAUUCCAGGAAAAACAAAAGAUUAGUUCCUAGCCACAGCUCUGCAAGGCAUACAUAAAUGUACAUAAGAAACAAUGAAUGCUUAUCAAGCCAAAAUUACAGGACAAAUCUAUGGGGAGGGCGGGGGAUGGGAAGUGGUGGAAGUGGAGGGAGGAAAGAGUGAUAAGUCCUUAUCUUCCACGGUUAAGGGAGAAGGCCAAAACCUGAAAAAGCCAGUUAGCAAUUCAAGUAUAUGGAGACAUGUGCAGUACAUAUUAAAAGAGUCAAAAACAUUGCGCCUGGAGAAGAGGAAAUGGGAGGGGAGGGGAAUGAGGAAUGUUGUUUGUCUUAAAGCUUGUACAACUAGUUGAACUGUACAUAUGCAUAACCUCAACUAGAGAAAUAAAAUCCAAACAAGAGAGAGAGGCACAAAUUGGGCCAAAUCAUCAACAGCCUGGUGCAAGGUGCACUACACCAUAAGCACACUUUAUAAUUCACAUAUUUUAUGAUGAAAUUCUAGAGUCAGCUUCGACCAAGGGCAAUUCUGCCUCCCCUCACCCUACCCAGGGGACAUUUGACCAUGUCCAGAAGCAUUUUCGGUUGUCACAGCCCUGGGGGUCUGGUGGCCAGAGACCAGGGACACUGCUGAGUAUCCUUCAGCACACAGAGCGUAGCACUCACAACAAAGAAUUUGCUCAACAACUAACAAAAAAGAAAGAUCUGGCCCAAAAUGUCAAUAACGGCAAGGUUGAGAAACCCUUGCUCAACAGAUGGCUGGGAAGAGAAAACCCAAUGGAGAGGCCUGGGAAACCGGUCUCUCCACACUCACACGACACUCUGACACCAGAUGGCUGCGUUUUCCCACACUGACCCCUUCUCUGAUUCUCUGUGGACCUAACUGGAUGCCCCACAACUCAGUUUACUUCUGACAGUCUAUCUCCAAUCCGUCUACUUGGAGUUAGCGUCACAUCCCACGAGGUAGGGGCUCAGGCCCACAAGACUGCCCCCACUCUAGCUGCUAGCCGCAGGUCCCAGGCCUCCUGUAUUUAUACCAACCGACUGGCUAUAAAUCAGGGGUUCCCACGACCCCCUGCUCAGGUUCAAUAAUUUGCUGGAACAGCUCAUAGAACUCAGGAAGGCACCUUACUCACAUUUACCAGUUUGUUCUAAAGGAUACCGCUCAGGAAGAGCAGAGGGCAAGGCGAGGGGCAGGGCUGGCGUGUGCUUCCGCGCCCUCUCCGGGUGCCCCGCCCUCCCGCACCUUGACGCGGUCACCAACGCGAGGCUCCGAACCCCAUCCUUUUCAGUUUUCGGAGGCUGUGUUCCAUAGGCAUGAUUGACUAACUCAUCCUCCAAUCCCUCUUCCCCACCAGGAGGUCAAGGGCCGGGGUUGAAAGUUCCAACCCUCUAAGCACUGGCCGGCUCCCCUUGCAACCGGCCUGCCCCCGCCCCCCUCCCCCAUCUUCGGGGCUUCCCAAAAGUCACCUCAGGAACAGAAACUCGGGUGUGGUUGAAAGGGACUUGUUAUGAAUAACAAAAGACACUCCCUCCACCUUUAAGGCUCUCAUCAUUAAGGAAAUUCCAAGGGUUUUAGGAGCUCUGUGCCAGGAACAGGGAUGAAGCCCAGAUGUCUAUUUCUUAUUAUAAGUCACGAUGCCACAGGAAGCUGUUGAGAUCCUCGAGGUAGGAAAUCACAAAAGGCUGAAUUCCGAGAGCUCUCGGGUGGACUCCACGGGCCUGGAAACCCGAUGCAGGGGCAGACGGUGGAAGCAAGGCCGAGUUUUCCCACUUGGGUAUUGAGGUGGAUGUUGAUGCCAUGAACCAAAGCCAGGGAAAGGGUGUCGGCGGAGGAGAGAACAAUUUAGUGGGUGAAGUUUAGUCUGAGUCGCUUAGAGGCGACGGGAGGUCAAGGUGAAGAGGCUUAGUCGGGUGGGUUCUGGGGUUCAAGACGGAGGUCUGGAGGGUGGACACAUAUGUGGCAGUCACCGCAUUUAGAAGUAGGGUUUCCUGAG
This 5580-nucleotide long non-coding RNA is filed under the name Equus caballus (horse). RNAcentral describes it as "lncRNA (ENSECAG00000057254.1)". The record is from RNAcentral. Lineage: Eukaryota; Metazoa; Chordata; Mammalia; Perissodactyla; Equidae.